RNAcentral lists this long non-coding RNA (1596 nucleotides) under Brassica rapa (field mustard). Its description in RNAcentral is "long non-coding RNA (BRAP_LNC002249)". The record is from RNAcentral. Lineage: Eukaryota; Viridiplantae; Streptophyta; Magnoliopsida; Brassicales; Brassicaceae.
CGUUUUUAAUGUACGAGUUUAAAAUAGCUACUAAUUUUCAGUGAUUAUAGGAGUAGUAAAGUACUUGACUUCAUGCUGUCUCUCUGUGUCAUUUACUGCAGUCUUUUAGACCACUAAAACUAGAAGACAUCGUUUCAAACAAUACGUACUGCAGUCAUAUUAAUACUGUAAUUUGACUGGACGUUUUGUAAAAGUGGAAUGAUGUGAUGUGAUUUCGUCGAUGAAUCACCUUUUUUUUUUUUUUUGACACAAAUUUUUUUUUUUCAUUAAAAAAGGGGCAAGGCCCAAACAGAACCGAACUACAAACAGGCCCAAAACGAACCGGGCCAACUAAAACCAAAAAGAAAGGCCUUCGGCCCCAACAACCUGGGCCUUAGCCCACACCCAAACCCUAGGGUAGGGAAUCCUAAUUUCCGCGCCUCACCGAACGUCGGCGACGCAGCCCUAACCCCAACUCACCACCGCGCUAACGCCAUGUCGCAUGGGGUCAUUCAUCGGAGAGCAUCAUUCCAUCGCGAUCUCAUCCGUAUCCCAUGCCGACAGAACCAAACACUCAUCAAACACGAUCUGCGUAGUCUCAUAAGAACCGUCUACCAUUGACCAACCACCCCCGACAUUCCGAGUCGUUUCAGGUGAGAGAUCAAGAGGCGGAAGAACUAUGAAGCUUUGAGUUUCAGAUUACACCGAGAAAGAAAGACCAGGGAAAAAACUAGAAAGACUGAAACGAAAAGAAAAAACCAAAGCCGAGAAGAGCGAUACUAAGUGAGCUACCGCCUUCCGGAAGCAGGAGCCGGCGAUGACGGUGCUAACAGAGCCACCGUCUCCCAGAAACAAAGGCCGGCGGUCGUAGAGCUGAGAGAGCCUCUACUCCCCGGGAACUAAAACUGAACUCACGAGCCGUCUGCCGCUUCGAUUAACCGUUCUUCACCCCUCACCCCGACUCCAGAGAAAACAGCAUCGCCGCCGUCUGGAGAACCGUACGAGUCGAUCCCUUCUUGGCGCGAUACCCUAGCCCAGAGCCGUCGGCAUGUCGGGGUAAUCGGUAGAUCGAAAACCACAGCGGAAAUCCCUGACUUGAACGGAAAAAGAUGAGCCACCGACGCCGGCACGCGCGCGGACGCGCCACCGGACGUCGGGGGCGUCGACACUUUUCUCUCUCUUUUUUUCUCUCUCUGUAUAAGCUAUUACUUUCUAAUCACCCAUAUAGUUUUUUUUUUUUUUUUUUUUUGGAUCAAAAUCACCCAUAUAGUUUUUUUUUGGGAUCAAAAUCACCCAUAUAGUUUUUUUUUUGGAUCAAAAUCACCCAUAUAGUUUAAAGUCAAAAUUACGGCAGUAGAAUGAUCCUCAUUGCUUAGUGCUUACAUAUCUUGAUAAAAUCAAUCCAAUCCUUUUUUGUUUUAACAAUAGUGUAUAAACACAUUUUCUUCAUAUUAAAAACAAAAAUAAUAUUUAUGUUUGUGCACUACAAGAAAACAUCCGCAUACUAAGGGAAAAAAUUGUCGGUAUGUCUUCGGAAUAACGCUAUUCCGAGGACAUACCGACGAAACAAGUCGUCGGAAAUAUCUCCUCGGAAAAUCAUAUUUUCUCGGAAUUCCG